This 227-nucleotide long non-coding RNA is filed under the name Trifolium pratense (red clover). Its description in RNAcentral is "long non-coding RNA (TPRA_LNC006843)". Lineage: Eukaryota; Viridiplantae; Streptophyta; Magnoliopsida; Fabales; Fabaceae. The record is from RNAcentral.
AAAAAAUUAAAUAAUAUAUAUGUGUUAGUUUGAGUUGGACAUGAACUUGAUUGACUUAGUUUGAGACUUUGAGUGUUACCCGUUGAACACUUCUAUUGAGUAUUACCAAAUUGUCACCAGUUGACUUUCUUAGUUCUUUAGUUUUAUUUUGUGGAAAAAUAGCCACCCAUGACAUGAGCAGAUACAAUUUGGCUUCUUAAUAAACCAUCUCAACGACUACACAAUUU